GCGCGUUCAUGAAGAAGUUGCUGACGGUGUUGAGCUCCAAGCCGAGCUGCUGCGAGAUGGUGACCUGCAUCUCCUUGGACGGCCGCUUAUUCUCCUUGAAGAUGGCGAUCAGCGUGCGUCGCUGCAGGCUGAGACCACCCAGACUUGGCCUCCCUCAGGCACCCAGUGGACCCUCUGGAGCGCAGAACAUCUAAGGAAGAAGACUUUGGAGGAGGAGGAGAGAGUGCAGGGACCACCUCUUCCUCUCCCAGAUGAGCAGACUGGGACUGUGGUGCUGAAGAGGCUGUCCUGCCCUUGUCUCCAUCCCGGAGUUCCAGCUACUCUGUGACCCCAGAAGUGGCCGGUGGUGCAGGUUGUACUAGUGGGUCUCUGCUCCCAGUCUCCUCUCUGUGCUAGCCGUGGUGGCCUACUGGGAUGGCACAGAAAGCUUUUCUUUUGGUUGCAGAACAGCCUGGAACAUGACAUGCUAGAUCAAUGUCCAUACACGUCCGCAGAAAUAAAUGAAUGUUCCCUC
Pongo pygmaeus (Bornean orangutan) is the source of this 514-nucleotide long non-coding RNA. RefSeq lists it as uncharacterized. Lineage: Eukaryota; Metazoa; Chordata; Mammalia; Primates; Hominidae. The transcript has 3 exons. The record is from RefSeq and is a predicted model, not a curated record.